UACGGAGGGUGCGAGCGUUUAAUCGGAAUUACUGGGCGUAAAGGGUUCGUAGGUGGUUUGAUAAGUUAUCUGUCGAAAGCCCUGGGCUUGAAACCUGGGAAGGCCAGAUAAGACUGUUAGGCUAGAGUAUGGGAGGGGUAGUGGAAUUUCCGGAUGUAGCGGUGAAAUGCGUAGAGAUCGGAAGGAACACCGGUGGCGAAGGCGGCUACCUGGCCUAAUACUGACACUGAAGGACGAAAGCGUGGGAGCAAACAGG
Molecule: ribosomal RNA, 256 nt
Filed under: uncultured bacterium
Lineage: Bacteria
Description: partial 16S ribosomal RNA
Rfam family: Bacterial small subunit ribosomal RNA
Source: RNAcentral